Cuculus canorus (common cuckoo) is the source of this 3202-nucleotide long non-coding RNA. RefSeq lists it as uncharacterized. The record is from RefSeq and is a predicted model, not a curated record. The transcript has 3 exons. NCBI's taxonomy places the organism in Eukaryota, Metazoa, Chordata, Aves, Cuculiformes, Cuculidae.
CAUACUGCUGCUAUUUACCUGACAACAUGGGUUUAGUGAAGCUGCACAGAAUUUCACAGUCUCUGACACAUACAUCGGAUACAGGCAGAGCAAUGAAGGAAAUAAUGUGAAAGCAAACUGUUCAGUUCAAGCCAAAAAGACUAAUGGAAAUAGUAAAAAUAGUAAAGAUGCGAAAGCAAGACCUACAGAAAUAAAUAUCUGAGAUGGGAACUUGGAGGAAAGGUUCACUGCAGCUGCAGGCACGCCUGGCUGAGUGUCAGUAUGGGUUAAUUUGCACUGUGACAGAUGUCUUGGGAACAGACAGAGGCUGAAGAAAAGAGCCAGUGUCCCUGGGCCAGGUCUGCUCAUGGAGCUGAGCCACUCUCAGGUGUCCUUGGAGCAUCACUGAUUUACUGCAGCUGUAGCUUUGGCGCUUGUGUUUAAGGAUGAUUAUGCAAUCCUCAACCUUUGGGUUUUUUAAUCUUUGGUAAUACAAAAAGCCUCAACCUCCUCCUGUCAGCACAAAUACAAUUUUGAUUGACUGACCCUGUACUACUUGAUCUGGUUCAUCCACUUCAGCUGGUCUUGUUGCACCUCUGGCUCUCCCUUUGAACCCAAUUUUCACUUGUUUUACUGUGACCAUCUCUUGCUGGGCUUCUUGGAGCUCCUGCCAGCUGCCAUGCUCAGGUGUCUCUAGUUCCCCCCUCCCAGCUCCUCCUGCACCAGGACUGCUCCUAAAUACCCGCCCUUGCUGCCCUAAAAGGUGGUUUCACUAUCUCCUUGUUGGGGCUGGAGAAGUCUCAAGGAUGUCCACAACUGUUAAAGCAUCCCUUGUCAAAGGACAGAGCAGCAAAGUGGUUUCUGCACUCUGGACUUGACUCUGAACUUGUGAGAGGGUUACUACUGUUGUUUGACUCCAGAUGUCCUAGAAGUCAGAAGUCAGAGACAGACAUUACGCUUCAGAGGAAGAGGGUUUACCUAAUUGCAUUGCUCCACUGCACAGAGCCAAAUAAUGGCCUCUCACCACAGUGAUUUUGUGGGAAAUGACAAAGGGACAUCAGCCUGGCAUGAAAACUCGUGAGCAAGAGGAGGGCAGCCAGAGAAAAGCAAUGGAGGGAAAAGCAAUGGAGGUAAAGACAGAAGGAAGAGGAAUGGACAUUUCCACUUCAGUAGGAUGUUGCAGGUGUGGAAGUGAGAACAAAGGCAACGACACUUCGCUCUCUUCAAGACUGACUUCUGCAAAGUGUUUGUGUCCCAAUUGACACUGCGGCCACUGGGACCACCAGGCUCCAAAGCUCACCUCUGAAAUGAAAAUCUCCCAGUAUCUUCCCACAGACCACAGAACAAUUUUCUUGUUGUGCUCACUUUAUGGAGGGGUUGUGAAGAGGCGUGGGAGGAUUUUCAGCUUUUAAGUGAUUUGUACAAUGUCUUCACUACAAAACAGAGAGCUUUACAUUAAAUAAAACCUAUGGGAGUCAAGGGAGGUUUGCUUAGUCUCCUGUAUAAGACAGUUUGUUGAAUGCUGCAUAAAAAUAUAUAAUUCUUUUUGUGCUGGUGGAGAUUCAGAGUGGACUGUCACUGCUGUAAAUCAGUGGAUUUGAUAAGAUCUUCCCUCUGUGAAAUGGAGUGAUCUUCUCUGGCAGAAGAAUGUGAUAAAUACACCUGUCCAUGCCCACAAGUGAGACACAAGUACGCAGGACAAAAGCUACAUGUAUGAGACACAGGCAGAACAUCCCUCCUCAUCUGUGCUACUGCAGGGCAGGAUGUAUAAGGGACUUAGAAUCUUUGAGUGGCUUCAUUUGCACAGUACGGAAUCUUUAGGUCCUGGAAAGAGCACACUGCAAUGGAGGAGAGAGAGCUGCAAGCUGACAUAACCAGCCAGUACCUACGUCCCAUAUUUUGACAUCAAUUUUCACCCAGAAUAGAGGAAAAACCCAAAAGCUGAAGUCUUCUAUAAGCCCCCUGCCACUGCUGGACCACUGCUCUGAUUCAGUGAGAGCAGUCCACGAGGGAACACAAGAGGCCUGGAGGGGCAGGGGUGUUAACUUAGAGCCAGAGUUCAGAGUGGUGCACUUGGAUUAUUUUCACAAACCAACUGUGUUGAUUUGGCAGAAAUUUCCUUUUUCUCUGGGUGAUUUUCAAUGAGAAAAAUACUGCUGGGCUUCAAGCCUUGCUGAAUUGCUCAUGGGAAUGAGUGCUGUUAGAGUCCAGCAACUGGUCCAGGAAGCUGAGCUAAGCAGCCAACACCAGCUUUCUUGCUCAGAUGGUUAGGUAGAUGUUUCAAGAGCUGGAGGACUACAGACUCAGCCUUCAUCCCACAUUCACUUGUGUGUUUGUGAUUUAUCUAGCAAAUCUUUGUGGGCUCUGGGGUACAGUUUUAUUAAAAAAUCCUUUUUCCUUAACACAGGAGGAUGGUUACAAAACAUACUGAAAUUUGGUUUUCCACUCUUUAGGGUUUCCAGAACUUCAUGCUCAUCUAUCUUAUGUUAUUUUCCUUUCUAUUUGUGGUUUUGAGGUCAUGGCUCUAGAAAUGUUAACUCUUCAAGUGAAGUUCAGAGCCAAACCCAAAUUCUUCUUGGAGAAAAUACCAAAAUUUCUACUGGUGCCUCACAGCUGAAAAACAUGUAAAUUAAUACACAGCAAUAGAUCUAUCUCUCUGAUCAAAAGGUACCUCAGCAAAGCUAUGCACUCAUGGAAAAUGCUGUAUGAUAGUGUUGGGUGGAUAGUGCAAACAAACACAAACUUUCCCACAAAUAUUUGCUUGUCUCAAAUUAAUCUGCUUGGCUGUGCUCAUGGCUCUCCAGAGUUUAUUUUCCAGAAAUAUUCUAACAAGAGCUUGUUGGCAAGAACACACACAGAAACCGCUCAAGGUAAUAUCUGAGGAAACUAUUUUUGAAGGUCCAUUUUAAGGCCAGCAACCCUAAAACCCUACUAUUUUCAUGCCUUUGGUCUUAGCAGCCCUGAGGAAAGGGCAACAUUCCCCUUGGAGAAGGCCAGGAGAGGGGAUCUGACUGAGUCAUGAGUUAGAUCCUCGUUUCUCCCUCUGCACUGGGGAAGAGCUUGAUUAACCAGUGACAGCUGGAGAACUGAGACUGCAUUUCCUUAAGUGGAGGAGAAGGACUCUAGAAGUGCUCUUCACCCUCCCUGCCUUUGCAUUAUGUGAAUGCAUCUCUCUUCACCCCUGGAUGCAGAUGACAGCUCAGCACUGAAGUGUCGAGCAGUA